AGUGAACGCUGGCGGUAGGCCUAACACAUGCAAGUCGAACGGCAGCACAGUAAGAGCUUGCUCUUACGGGUGGCGAGUGGCGGACGGGUGAGGAAUACAUCGGAAUCUACUUUUUCGUGGGGGAUAACGUAGGGAAACUUACGCUAAUACCGCAUACGAUCUACGGGUGAAAGCAUGGGAUCUUCGGACCUUGCGCGAAUGAAUGAGCCGAUGUUGGAUUAGUUAGUUGGCGGGGUAAAGGCCCACCAAGGCGACGAUCCGUAGCUGGUCUGAGAGGAUGGUCAGCCACACUGGAACGGAGACACGGUCCAGACUCCUACGGUAGGCAGCAGUGGGGAAUAUUGGACAAUGGGCGCGAGCCUGAUCCAGCCAUACCGCGUGGGUGAAGAAGGCCUUCGGGUUGUAAAGCCCUUUUGUUGGGAAAGAAAAGCAGCAGGUUAAUACCCCGCUGUUCUGACGGUACCCAAAGAAUAAGCACCGGCUAACUUCGUG
RNAcentral lists this ribosomal RNA (492 nucleotides) under uncultured bacterium. RNAcentral's name for it is "partial 16S ribosomal RNA". It matches the Rfam family "Bacterial small subunit ribosomal RNA", at positions 29 to 507 of the family's 1533-position model. The record is from RNAcentral.